GAAUUUUCCGCAAUGGGCGAAAGCCUGACGGAGCGACGCCGCGUGCAGGAUGAAGGUCUUCGGAUUGUAAACUGCUGUCAGGGGGGACGAAACCAAUGACGGUACCCCCAAAGGAAGCAUCGGCUAACUACGUGCCAGCAGCCGCGGUAAGACGUAGGAUGCAAGCGUUGUUCGGAUUUAUUGGGCGUAAAGCGUACGUAGGCGGUUCGCCAAGUCUGGUGUUAAAGCUAGGAGCUCAACUCCUGUGAUGCACUGGAAACUGGCGGGCUUGAGUGCGGUAGGGGAAAGUGGAAUUCCGAGUGUAGCGGUGAAAUGCGUAGAUAUUCGGAAGAACGCCAGUGGCGAAAGCGACUUUCUGGGCCGUAACUGACGCUGAGGUACGAAAGCGUGGGGAGCAAACAG
RNAcentral lists this ribosomal RNA (402 nucleotides) under uncultured bacterium. RNAcentral describes it as "bacterial SSU rRNA". It matches the Rfam family "Bacterial small subunit ribosomal RNA", at positions 359 to 775 of the family's 1533-position model. The record is from RNAcentral.